AUGAAGUGGCCGAAGUUUGUAAUCGCAAAACGACAAGAGCAGCAGCAUUUGGAACCGACACUUCUCUGCUGCAUUUUCAAAUGCAAUGUUGCCGAGGUAACUUCUCUGCUGCAUUUUCUAUAUUGGUUGAGUUUAUUGUUCAUAUCAUAUUUUUCGUUAUUUGUUAAUUGCACUGCAUCUGCUCAAAGGACCAGUCAGCAGUUGUAA
Vicia faba (fava bean) is the source of this 207-nucleotide non-coding RNA. The record is from the annotation of a GenBank genome assembly. NCBI's taxonomy places the organism in Eukaryota, Viridiplantae, Streptophyta, Magnoliopsida, Fabales, Fabaceae.